This 253-nucleotide ribosomal RNA is filed under the name uncultured bacterium. RNAcentral's name for it is "partial 16S ribosomal RNA". It matches the Rfam family "Bacterial small subunit ribosomal RNA", at positions 524 to 776 of the family's 1533-position model. The record is from RNAcentral.
UACGGGGGGGGCAAGCGUUGUUCGGAAUUACUGGGCGUAAAGGGUUCGUAGGUGGCCCGCUAAGUCACACGUGAAAUCCCUCAGCUUAACUGGGGAACUGCGUGUGAGACUGGCAGGCUUGAGUGCAGGAGAGGAACGCGGAAUUCCAGGUGUAGCGGUGAAAUGCGUAGAUAUCUGGAGGAACACCGGUGGCGAAGGCGGCGUUCUGGACUGUAUCCGACACUGAGGAACGAAAGCCAGGGGAGCAAACGGG